UUUGAUCCAUGGCUCAGGAUGAACGCUAGCUACAGGCUUAACACAUGCAAGUCGAGGGGAAACGAUGAGAGAGCUUGCUCUCUUAGUCGUCGACCGGCGCACGGGUGAGUAACGCGUAUCCAACCUGCCUCUGACUAAGGGAUAACCCGUCGAAAGUCGGACUAAUACCUUAUGCAGUCGUCGGAAGUCAUCUGAUGACGACGAAAGAUUUCAUCGGUGAGAGAUGGGGAUGCGUCUGAUUAGCUUGUUGGCGGGGUAACGGCCCACCAAGGCGACGAUCAGUAGGGGUUCUGAGAGGAAGGUCCCCCACAUUGGAACUGAGACACGGUCCAAACUCCUACGGGAGGCAGCAGUGAGGAAUAUUGGUCAAUGGGCGAGAGCCUGAACCAGCCAAGUAGCGUGCAGGAUGACGGCCCUAUGGGUUGUAAACUGCUUUUAUGCGGGGAUAAAGUGAGGGACGUGUCCUUCAUUGCAGGUACCGCAUGAAUAAGGACCGGCUAAUUCCGUGCCAGCAGCCGCGGUAAUACGGAAGGUCCGGGCGUUAUCCGGAUUUAUUGGGUUUAAAGGGAGCGUAGGCCGUGGAUUAAGCGUGUUGUGAAAUGUAGACGCUCAACGUCUGACUUGCAGCGCGAACUGGUCCACUUGAGUGUGCACAACGCAGGCGGAAUUCGUCGUGUAGCGGUGAAAUGCUUAGAUAUGACGAAGAACCCCGAUUGCGAAGGCAGCUUGCGGGAGCACGACUGACGCUGAAGCUCGAAAGUGCGGGUAUCGAACAGGAUUAGAUACCCUGGUAGUCCGCACGGUAAACGAUGGAUGCCCGUUGUCAGGCUGUAUCAGUCUGGUGACCAAGCGAAAGCAUUAAGCAUCCCACCUGGGGGAGUACGCCGGCAACGGUGAAACUCAAAGGAAUUGACGGGGGGCCCGCACAAGCGGAGGAAACAUGUGGUUUAAUUCGAUGAUACGCGAGGAACCUUACCCGGGCUUGAAUUGCAGACGAACGAUUCAGAGAUGAUGAGGCCCUUCGGGGCGUCUGUGAAGGUGCUGCAUGGUUGUCGUCAGCUCGUGCCGUGAGGUGUCGGCUUAAGUGCCAUAACGAGCGCAAACCCCUAUUCUCGGUUGCCAUCGGGUAAAUGCCGGGCACUCCGUGGAGACUGCCACCGUAAAGGUGUGAGGAAAGGUGGGGAGAACGUCAAAAUCAAGCGACGGCCCUUACGUUCCGGGGCUACGACGCGUGUUUCCAAUGGCCGGUGACAAGCGAAGUUCGGCCGCGUGAGGAAUGCGGUCCAUUCCUAAAAGCCGGUCCCGGUUCGAAACCGAGGUCUGCGCCCGUACCCCCGACGUAAACCGGUUUCGCGUGUGAACGGCGCGCGCAGCCGUGGCGCGGUUAUUACGCCCCCGGGCUCUGGGCACGCCGGACGU
RNAcentral lists this ribosomal RNA (1419 nucleotides) under uncultured bacterium. Its description in RNAcentral is "partial 16S ribosomal RNA". It matches the Rfam family "Bacterial small subunit ribosomal RNA". The record is from RNAcentral.